GGCUGCUGUGGCAUAGUGGUUUGAACUCUGGAGUAUGAUUCUGGAGAUCAGGGUUCGAGUCCCUGCUCAGCCA
This is a non-coding RNA of Phrynosoma platyrhinos (Desert horned lizard), 73 nucleotides long. Lineage: Eukaryota; Metazoa; Chordata; Lepidosauria; Squamata; Phrynosomatidae. The record is from the annotation of a GenBank genome assembly.